This 512-nucleotide ribosomal RNA is filed under the name uncultured bacterium. RNAcentral's name for it is "bacterial SSU rRNA". It matches the Rfam family "Bacterial small subunit ribosomal RNA", at positions 22 to 518 of the family's 1533-position model. The record is from RNAcentral.
GGUCAGGAUGAACGCUGGCGGCGUGCUUAACACAUGCAAGUCGAACGGAGUUGUUCACCGAAUGAAUUGGAGAGCUUGCUCAAAGAGGAAUUCACCGAAGCAACUUAGUGGCGGACGGGUGAGUAACGCGUGGGUAACCUACCCUUAUCAGGGGGAUAACAGUCGGAAACGACUGCUAAUACCGCAUAAGCGCACAGUAUCGCAUGAUACAGUGUGAAAAACUCCGGUGGAUAAGGAUGGACCCGCGUCUGAUUAGCUAGUUGGUGAGGUAACGGCCCACCAAGGCGACGAUCAGUAGCCGGCCUUAACGGGUGAACGGCCACAUUGGGACUGAGACACGGCCCAAACUCCUACGGGAGGCAGCAGUGGGGAAUAUUGCACAAUGGGGGAAACCCUGAUGCAGCGACGCCGCGUGAAGGAAGAAGUAUUUCGGUAUGUAAACUUCUAUCAGCAGGGAAGAUAGUGACGGUACCUGACUAAGAAGCUCCGGCUAAAUACGUGCCAGCCGCAGC